CAUUACAGAGUUCUGGGUCCUUCGGGGCCCGUCCUCCAACCCCUUGUAUACCUACCUCGUUGCUUUGGCGGACCGUCGCGCCGAGAGGCGCGCGUCCGGCCCCCCCUAACCCGGGGGCUGGGGAGCGUCCGCCGGAGGAAUUUCAAACUCUUGUUUGUAACAAUGCAGUCUGAUCGAAUAUCAAAUAUUCUAAAACUUUCAACAACGGAUCUCUUGGUUCUGGCAUCGAUGAAGAACGCAGCGAAAUGCGAUAAGUAAUGUGAAUUGCAGAAUUCAGUGAAUCAUCGAAUCUUUGAACGCACAUUGCGCCCCUUGGCAUUCCGAGGGGCAUGCCUGUUCGAGCGUCAUUACAACCCUCAAGCUCUGCUUGGUAUUGGGCUUCGUCCUCAUCGGACGUGCCUCAAAGGCCUCGGCGGUGGCGUCUUGCCCUCAAGCGUAGUAAAACUUUCUCGCUUUGGAGGUCGGGGCGCCCCCCGCCGGACGAACCUUUUUACUUCUAUCAAGGUUGACCUCGGAUCAGGUAGGGAUACCCGCUGAACUUAAGCAUAUCAAUAA
RNAcentral lists this ribosomal RNA (555 nucleotides) under Septorioides sp. KDB-2015a. Its description in RNAcentral is "eukaryotic LSU rRNA". The stretch from base 194 to 347 matches the Rfam family "5.8S ribosomal RNA". Lineage: Eukaryota; Fungi; Ascomycota; Dothideomycetes; Botryosphaeriales; Septorioideaceae. The record is from RNAcentral.